Molecule: ribosomal RNA, 497 nt
Filed under: uncultured bacterium
Lineage: Bacteria
Description: partial 16S ribosomal RNA
Rfam family: Bacterial small subunit ribosomal RNA
Source: RNAcentral
GAUGAACGCUGGCGGCGUGCCUAAUACAUGCAAGUCGAGCGAACGGACAAGAAGCUUGCUUCUCUGAUGUUAGCGGCGGACGGGUGAGUAACACGUGGAUAACCUACCUAUAAGACUGGGAUCACUUCGGGAAACCGGAGCUAAUACCGGAUAAUAUUUUGAACCGCAUGGUUCAAAAGUGAAAGACGGUCUUGCUGUCACUUAUAGAUGGAUCCGCGCUGCAUUAGCUAGUUGGUAAGGUAACGGCUUACCAAGGCAACGAUGCAUAGCCGACCUGAGAGGGUGAUCGCCGACACGGGAACUGGGACACGGUCCAGACUCCUACGGGAGGCAGCAGUAGGGAAUCUUCCGCAAUGGGCGAAAGCCUGACGGAGCAACGCCGCGUGAGUGAUGAAGGUCUUCGGAGCGUAAAACUCUGUUAUUAGGGAAGAACAUAUGUGUAAGUAACUGUGCACAGCUUGACGGUACCUAAUCAGAAAGCCACGGCUAACUACGUG